This 497-nucleotide ribosomal RNA is filed under the name uncultured bacterium. RNAcentral's name for it is "partial 16S ribosomal RNA". It matches the Rfam family "Bacterial small subunit ribosomal RNA", at positions 28 to 507 of the family's 1533-position model. The record is from RNAcentral.
GACGAACGCUGGCGGCGUGCCUAAUACAUGCAAGUUGAGCGCUGAAGGUUGGUACUUGUACCAACUGGAUGAGCAGCGAACGGGUGAGUAACGCGUGGGGAAUCUGCCUUUGAGCGGGGGACAACAUUUGGAAACGAAUGCUAAUACCGCAUAAAAACUUUAAACACAAGUUUUAAGUUUGAAAGAUGCAAUUGCAUCACUCAAAGAUGAUCCCGCGUUGUAUUAGCUAGUUGGUGAGGCAAAGGCUCACCAAGGCGAUGAUACAUAGCCGACCUGAGAGGGUGAUCGGCCACAUUGGGACUGAGACACGGCCCAAACUCCUACGGGAGGCAGCAGUAGGGAAUCUUCGGCAAUGGACGAAAGUCUGACCGAGCAACGCCGCGUGAGUGAAGAAGGUUUUCGGAUCGUAAAACUCUGUCGGUAGAGAAGAACGUUGGUGAGAGUGGAAAGCUCAUCAAGUGACGGUAACUACCCAGAAAGGGACGGCUAACUACGUG